This 274-nucleotide ribosomal RNA is filed under the name uncultured bacterium. Its description in RNAcentral is "partial 16S ribosomal RNA". It matches the Rfam family "Bacterial small subunit ribosomal RNA", at positions 523 to 796 of the family's 1533-position model. The record is from RNAcentral.
AUACAGAGGGUGCAAGCGUUAAUCGGAAUUACUGGGCGUAAAGCGCGCGUAGGCGGUUUGUUAAGUCGGAUGUGAAAUCCCUGGGCUCAACCUGGGAACUGCAUUCGAAACUGAUUGACUAGAGUAUGGUAGAGGGUGGUGGAAUUCCUAGUGUAGCGGUGAAAUGCGUAGAUAUUAGGGGGAACAUCAGUGGCGAAGGCGACCACCUGGACCAAUACUGACGCUGAGGUGCGAAAGCGUGGGGAGCAAACAGGAUUAGAAACCCCAGUAGUCC